GUGCAAGUGACAGUUCCAUUAGUGUUACAAGAGAUAUUAGUUCUCCAGACGUUUCUGUCAGUUUCAAUCCAAGUUCGUCUCCAACGAGUUUUCAACCUGAGAAAUCUCCAAAUUCUGACUGGUCACAUGUAGCAUCAGACAACGCAAAUAUGCUAGUUAAAGGAUCUGGCUCAGAUGCUUUUCGGGUUAGUGUUUCUAGUGCCCCAAGCACUUCCAGUCAUGGUUC
RNAcentral lists this unclassified non-coding RNA (226 nucleotides) under Hevea brasiliensis (rubber tree). Lineage: Eukaryota; Viridiplantae; Streptophyta; Magnoliopsida; Malpighiales; Euphorbiaceae. The record is from RNAcentral.